RNAcentral lists this transfer RNA (72 nucleotides) under bacterium. Its description in RNAcentral is "tRNA-His". It matches the Rfam family "tRNA". From Rfam's summary of the family: Transfer RNA (tRNA) molecules are approximately 80 nucleotides in length. Their secondary structure includes four short double-helical elements and three loops (D, anti-codon, and T loops). The record is from RNAcentral.
GUGGGUGUAGCUCAGGGGUAGAGCAUCGGUUUGUGGUUCCGAGGGUCGCGGGUUCAAUUCCCGUCAUCCACC